GAUGAACGCUGGCGGCGUGCCUAAUACAUGCAAGUCGAGCGAAUGGAUUAAGAGCUUGCUCUUAUGAAGUUAGCGGCGGACGGGUGAGUAACACGUGGGUAACCUGCCCAUAAGACUGGGAUAACUCCGGGAAACCGGGGCUAAUACCGGAUAACAUUUUGAACCGCAUGGUUCGAAGUUGAAAGGCGGCUUCGGCUGUCACUUAUGGAUGGACCCGCGUCGCAUUAGCUAGUUGGUGAGGUAACGGCUCACCAAGGCAACGAUGCGUAGCCGCACUGGGAGGGUGAUCGGCCACACUGGGACUGAGACACGGCCCAGACUCCUACGGGAGGCAGCAGUAGGGAAUCUUCCGCAAUGGACGAAAGUCUGACGGAGCAACGCCGCGUGAGUGAUGAAGGCUUUCGGGUCGUAAAACUCUGUUGUUAGGGAAGAACAAGUGCUAGUUGAAUAAGCUGGCACCUUGACGGUACCUAACCAGAAAGCCACGGCUAACUACGUGCCAGCCACCGCCGUAA
RNAcentral lists this ribosomal RNA (515 nucleotides) under uncultured bacterium. RNAcentral's name for it is "partial 16S ribosomal RNA". It matches the Rfam family "Bacterial small subunit ribosomal RNA", at positions 28 to 523 of the family's 1533-position model. The record is from RNAcentral.